RNAcentral lists this ribosomal RNA (325 nucleotides) under Blastocystis sp. subtype 2. RNAcentral's name for it is "SSU rRNA". It matches the Rfam family "Eukaryotic small subunit ribosomal RNA", at positions 717 to 1044 of the family's 1831-position model. Lineage: Eukaryota; Bigyra; Opalinata; Blastocystidae. The record is from RNAcentral.
GGGGUAUUCAGUUAUUCUACUACUCCUUUGGUCGUUUACUGUGAGAAAAUUAGAGUGUUCAAAGCGGGCGUUUGUUUGAAUAGAUUAGCAUGGAAUAAUGAUUGAAGGCUUUCGUGUUCGAUUUGAUUGGUUUGUUCAUGGAAGCAAGGUUAAAAGGAACAGUUGGGGGUAUUCAUAUUCACUAGUUAGAGGUGAAAUUCUCGGAUUUAUGGAAGAUGAACAGGUGCGAAAGCAUUUACCAAGGAUGUUUUCAUUAAUCAAGAACGAAAGCUAGGGGAUCGAAGAGGAUUAGAUACCCUCGUAGUCUUAGCUAUAAACGAUACCG